GUCACUUCCAGAGUUCCAGUGGCUGUAGCAGCCAAGAAGGAACUGCCUAUUGCCGGCGGGGCUCAAGCGGUGUCACUUUCAGUGGCUAUAGCAGCCAAAAAAACCAAAACCCCUCUAUAUUCUGAUGGCAAAUCUGUAAGCAUCUCACUAAUGAAAGAGCUUAUCACCAUGACGUGUACGUGUGCGUUUAAAAAAUGUGAGGCUAAGGUCAACCAUCAACCCAAAAUGUUUCUCUGUCACUAUCCACCUGAAAUUUAUGUACAACUUUUCAGUUUUUAUUGAUUGAUUGAUGGCUUUGUUCUUGACAAUCCUUUACGAAUCUACUCUGCUUUUGUGGAUAGGCGAAAAAGAUUGUUUUUUAGUAUUUUUUUCUUCAGUAGAUUAUUGAACGAGGUUUCAGAGCAGAUUGAGAGAAAAAGAGAAAUGUUAGUUCAUGCUUCAGUACAUUAUUUUUCUUGCUCCAGUACAUUAUUUUUCUUCAUUACUCUUUUCGAUAUCUCUUGCUUCAGUACAUUAUUUUUCUCUUACUACAUUUCUUUGUUCUUUUCAUUCCGAAAAGGCUACCUUAGCAGCACAACUACGCUUUUUUUUUUGCCCUUUUCAGCUCUCAAACUGCAGCCUAGUUUUGUUGUCAGUUCUCUGUUUUUGAUGGAUCUGAUAUGGUUAGACCUAUCUGGUUUUUCUGUAUGUGAUACGCCUAGUUAUAACUACUUCCAUCUUUUAACAGCUGUCCUAGUUUUGUUGCUCACCGGCUGACACCUUCCUUUUCUUUUUCUCUUUUUUAUGAGAUGUAUGAAUUGCACGUGGCAUCACAUAAAUUACCAUUCGAGAUAAGUUCCAGUCUGCAGAUCUCGGGGGACAGUAUGGCUGGAAUACGCUUGGUAACAGGGAGCAUUACCACUGCUGUGUAGUAAGACCGAAUCAAAUUUAAG
RNAcentral lists this long non-coding RNA (932 nucleotides) under Triticum aestivum (bread wheat). Its description in RNAcentral is "long non-coding RNA (TAES_LNC012495)". The record is from RNAcentral. Lineage: Eukaryota; Viridiplantae; Streptophyta; Magnoliopsida; Poales; Poaceae.